GAAACCACGUGAGGACUUGUGGAUCCCACGUUGAGGUGCAUCGAGAGGGCCCACCCUUCUCACUGUACAGUCCCACGUUAAGGAUGGAACCAGCUGCAUCAACUUCCAGUACGACGGUGUUGUAAAAAAGGUGCCUUUGGUGGUCAGGAGCACAACAGCUCUGCUGAUGUGUUAUUUAAGUGUGUUCUUACAUCUGAGUUUCCUCAUAGCAGUAUGUAGCUGAGGGGGUCCAACUUUCCCAGGGAAGAUUUAUGGUUUUUCUCCUACCAAGCACCAGCUCAGUAUACAAAGCUCUGUUAAUAACACCCAAGCAUGUAGAUGUUAAACUGAAACUGCUUUUAAACCUAGUUGUUGUUACAAAAAUAGCUUAAUACACCAUCUUCAGAGGGUAAAAAUUCACAUGGAAGUACAGAAAAAUCCAGAAGCGCUUCCUGAGCUUCAGUUUACCAACAGCACCAUCGGAUUUAGAUCGUGGCCUGGCAGCCAGGAUGCAGGGUCUGUAAGCAUUGCUGCGAUGUGGAAGUUGCAAGGCAGGUUUCUGGCCUGCCCUGACUAAAAGACCUUUUUUUUUCAUACAAACAGCGUGCCAGGUACGCUGUAAUGCCAAUGUGCCAGGUCAAUAGAGGAUGUCAAACAACAGAGGCGUUUAUCCUAAUUUCUGGCAUGAAAACACUUUUAACAGCAUUCUUUUCACCAAGAAACCCCUCUCUAUCUUCUCCAAUACUCCAGGAUCUGCUGCAGCUGCAGCAGCCGCGCUGCUACAACCCACAUCUUUGCCAAAUCUUUUCAAUAAUUGUGCUUUACCUCGGCAAUGUUGAGGUCACUCCUCUUCCUCCUCCAGCUGAGGAAGCAGCUCGCUGGCUCUGCCACACCGCAGGUGCGGAAGCGAAAGCUGGGAACACAGGAGUCAAACUCUCAGUGCUCACAAAGCCACCAGGGCACAGGCCUGACACAGAGGCACCCCGGAUCCACUCUCCCUCCCCGCUGCGAGGCUCGCAGCAGCCCCGACCCGAAGCGCACACAAUGCUUCGCAUGGUGAUGUCACCGCUGAUUCUGAGUCCCCAGGUGAGGAUCUGCCUCACCACUCUCAACGCUGGGGUUGGGUUUUGGUUUUGUUUUUUUUUUUUCUUUUAAACAUUCACAGCUUAUGGGAAACCAUCAGGUAAACCACAGAUGGCUAGGGAAGAAGUCCCACACGAGGGAAGUCCGUGCUUUUCUUCCAGGCAGCAGCACGUGCUUUAACACGCCGCGUUCGACAAAGCAGCUCUCCCCGUUUUGCUCAGUGGCAACAGGCACGACUGCAACGCACACAGGUGUAGGCAGCACCUGCAGGUCCCAAACCCUUAACCGGUUUGUAGAGAGCACCAAUUUUUGAAGUAGUGGUUUUCCCUUAAUCCAUGACCCCUUCUUUCCUUUAUUUAAAGCGGGUGGCUCUCCUCCAUUUUCCUCCUCAGUGUCUGAGCAGACACUGGGAAUCGUUUCUGGAGGAAGGGCACUGCUGAAGCUCCUACAUCUACUCUCCGAGAAAAGAGAGUAUGUCAAAGAAUACAGAUUUCCUUUCUUUUUCCCUUUUGAAAUACAAUUUCUGAUAUCAACGCUGCGGCCUGGCAGCAAAUACCUACGGGACUAAAGAGGAUUCCUCAUCCUCACUGUAACGUUGUAGUUAACCUCCCAACGAACCCAUCUCCCCAGGAAGCGGCCAUUUGAGAUGGGAAGGGGCAGAGCAAGAGGAAGCUCUCCUUAGCCUAGCUCUUCCCCCAACACCACCUCGCCACCCAGCACCAAAUUCAAUUCACCUGCUCCACCCGAUCAGUCGAACGGGCGUCCGACGCUGGCACACGCCACAGCGGUGGUUCUGACGUGGCUUAAAUCACCUAUCCGCAGAAUAUCUCGGGUCUGUACGCUCCAAUAACGCAGUAGUUGAGAAAUAACGCCCAGAGCUCACACUCUGAGUGCAGCCCAACAGCACCGAAGCACCGGGAGGCUAAACAUUCCCAACCUGGCAACAAGGCUGACCCAAGCAACAGCACGGAACCCUUCUGCACCUUCAGCGUGGACAUCAGCGGAAGGAAACACAGAUUUUUCUUUUCUCCUGGGGCUGCACCGCUCAGGGCCAGCAGAGCAGUGCUUCCCCUUCCCUUCUCUGUCUGUGCCAAGAUCGUGCCUCGUCUCUCGAGUCCUGCCCGUGAUGGUGCCUGGCCUCAGCCCCUUGAGGCGGCCAUUCCUCCACCACCGCAGCUCUCUUGGCAAGCUGCGAGUCAUUUUAUGUCUUGUCACGGCUUUCCAGAGCCAGGCACACAGGUUCUGGAGAAGGCUGGGGCAGGACAAGCCUGCUUUAAGCCCCAAACCUGCCUCCUUUACUGUCUCCUCUCAGGCCAGGCCUACCCUCCGGGCCCAGCAGCACUCAUCCUGCCUGCCCCAGGACCCGCAGGUUGCACCCUGUGGUAGCAGCAAAGAGCCCCCCAAAUGUCUGUCCUGGGGUACACAGGGGUGAGGCAGCCCCGUCACUGCACAGACACCCGUGGGACACGUCACCAGAGCCGCUAUCGGCUUGGCAAUUAAGGACGUGGGAGAGGAGCCCACGUCACGCAAGCAUUCGUGGCUGCCCUGGACAAAGAAAGAAACAGUGGCUGUUUUUCUCCCCAUUUAAACAGCUAAAAGCACCGCUAACAGUUUCUUUCUUUGCGUCCAGCCUGUACUACGUUUAAAGAAAGAAGCAGCUUCUGCUGAGGAGGUGGAAGAUGCUGUCAGCAGAAACACCGUGCCUAGAAUGCGAGCAGGGAAGACAGCGAUGCUGCGAAAUAAAGCUUUUACAGCCGCUUCAGAUCAGUUGGCCCGGGCUCCAAGGGUCAGACACCCAUCUGGGAAGAUUGAAUUUCCUCCUCGAUAGCCUUGCCCAGCUCAAUCUUGCCAUCCUGACUUGGCUCCAGAGAAAGCCUCUUAUUAAAGGCACAGAGAAACAAUAGCUUCUCGGCCAAAAACUAGGAGUUCAAGCAAUCCAGUGAAAAAGCUGUGCUUGGGAACAAGAAUGUUUCAGAGGCUAGUUGAUUUUAGUUCUCAUCGUCACUCGUGUCAUGGCAAAGGGCCUCUACAGAGGCAAAAGAGUCUCAGCACUGAGGUAGGACAUAGCUCAAACACCAGCCCCAGAAGGUGGAGAUCAUAGCCUUGACUCACCCUAAAGGCAUCACAGAAAGGGCACCAGGUAAGAGGACAAGGAGGGUUUUGGCUCUAGGGUUAGUUUGUCACAUAGCCCAGGAGCCACUGGCUUUGGCUAGCAUUUGACAACUGAUUCUGGACCUUGAAUGGACGAAGCCAUACUCUGCCUCUGAAUAAUGAGGCUUGCAUAGAGAGAAAACCCACACUGCCUAUAGGGACUCUGUCAUAGCAGUGGGCUUGCUUCUUGAUCCCCAUCCCUCUUUCCACCCUGCAGGCCCUACUUGCACGCUCUGCCUUGCUUAGAUGGGAAGCUCAGCCAUUCAUCCAGCACCACGAGAAGAUGUGGGAUUAAUUUCACAAGCUGGUGGACACACUGAGGACGUCACAGUUAGAUGUGGGCACAUUUUAUUCUCUGGAUGCACUCGCGCAUUGUUUCUGUUCAACAGCCAAAGCUUUAUUGAUACAAAACCAUUUCCCUUCUCCCCCACCCCCAGCAUGUUUUAUUUAUUUAUUUAUUUAUUUUUAAAUUUUGUAUAUGUAUCCCUUUUCCCACCCCUCAACUGCUCGUCCACUUCUGAUUUGAGUAAUAUCUCUGCUUGGAGUCUGUUUUCUCAGAAGAAGCUAACUGACAAUUCAUUCAUUUUUUUUUUCUCCCAAGAACCAUAUAAAUUACAUGCAAAACAUUGUACAUAGAGAUUAGUAUCAAAAUGCAAUACAGAUCAGGUGCACUUUAAGCUGGACUCUAGGAUAUGGCAAACACACCAGGGUACAUAUUGCUUUGAAACCACCAUUUUUUUUUAAUGUCAUGCAUACCACAUAAUAUUCAGUCUUUUGUUUUGUAUUUUUCUGUUUUUAUACAAAAAUACCAGUGCUUAUUAUACUAGUUACUGGAAAAGAAAAAAAAAUCAGAUCUGUGUGUCCUCUUCAAAUCAAAAUUUUGUUGUGAGAGCACUGGAUAAAUAUAUAUACACACACCAACAAGUGUCAUAAGCUUUGCCUUUGCUGAAGGAAGAUAAAUAGUACCAAGAAAAUCUGUCUAGUUUGUUUUACAGGCUUGUCUUUCUCAGUAUGGAACAAACUGACCUCCCUGGUCUAACUUUGCAGUUGCCUAUUCUGCCUUUGUCCUGGAGAGAAGAGCAAGAAAAGAACAAAUCUAUUUUUGCACUCCAAAAACGCAUUAGAGGAGGAUUAUCACACCCACCUAAGGGUACUUCCUUGUUUGUUUAUAAAGCACCAAGUAUUUCUCUUGGACAGAGACUGUUGCUGGCUUGCUUUGUGCCUUCCAUUUAUAAUAAAGAUAUUAUAAAAAAGAUAUUAUAAAAAAGAUAAUAAAGAUAUUAAGAUGCUUA
Anas platyrhynchos (mallard) is the source of this 4505-nucleotide non-coding RNA. Lineage: Eukaryota; Metazoa; Chordata; Aves; Anseriformes; Anatidae. The record is from RefSeq and is a predicted model, not a curated record.